UACGUAGGGUGCAAGCGUUGUCCGGAAUUAUUGGGCGUAAAGAGCUCGUAGGCGGUUCGUCGCGUCGGCUGUGAAAUCCCGGAGCUCAACUCCGGGCCUGCAGUCGAUACGGGCGGACUAGAGUUCGGCAGGGGAGACUGGAAUUCCUGGUGUAGCGGUGAAAUGCGCAGAUAUCAGGAGGAACACCGGUGGCGAAGGCGGGUCUCUGGGCCGAUACUGACGCUGAGGAGCGAAAGCGUGGGGAGCGAACAGG
Molecule: ribosomal RNA, 253 nt
Filed under: uncultured bacterium
Lineage: Bacteria
Description: partial 16S ribosomal RNA
Rfam family: Bacterial small subunit ribosomal RNA
Source: RNAcentral